This 200-nucleotide ribosomal RNA is filed under the name Escherichia coli 2-222-05_S4_C1. RNAcentral's name for it is "partial 16S ribosomal RNA". It matches the Rfam family "Bacterial small subunit ribosomal RNA", at positions 8 to 215 of the family's 1533-position model. Lineage: Bacteria; Pseudomonadati; Pseudomonadota; Gammaproteobacteria; Enterobacterales; Enterobacteriaceae. The record is from RNAcentral.
AGAGUUUGAUCAUGGCUCAGAUUGAACGCUGGCGGCAGGCCUAACACAUGCAAGUCGAACGGUAACAGGAAACAGCUUGCUGUUUCGCUGACGAGUGGCGGACGGGUGAGUAAUGUCUGGGAAACUGCCUGAUGGAGGGGGAUAACUACUGGAAACGGUAGCUAAUACCGCAUAACGUCGCAAGACCAAAGAGGGGGACC